This 353-nucleotide unclassified non-coding RNA is filed under the name soil metagenome. Its description in RNAcentral is "partial contains 5.8S ribosomal RNA, internal transcribed spacer 2, and large subunit ribosomal RNA". The stretch from base 1 to 120 matches the Rfam family "5.8S ribosomal RNA", at positions 35 to 154 of the family's 154-position model. The record is from RNAcentral.
GAUGAAGAACGUAGCGAAAUGCGAUAAGUAGUGUGAAUUGCAGAAUUCAGUGAAUCAUCGAAUCUUUGAACGCACAUUGCGCCCGCCAGUAUUCUGGCGGGCAUGCCUGUUCGUGCGUCAUUACAACCCUCAGGCCCCCGGGCCUGGCGUUGGGGAUCGGCGGAAGCCCCCUGCGGGCACAACGCCGUCCCCCAAAUACAGUGGCGGUCCCGCCGCAGCUUCCAUUGCGUAGUAGCUAACACCUCGCAACUGGAGAGCGGCGCGGCCACGCCGUAAAACACCCAACUUCUGAAUGUUGACCUCGAAUCAGGUAGGAAUACCCGCUGAACUUAAGCAUAUCAAUAAGCGGAGGA